UCGACGGAGUUAUCAUUUUUGAAGCGAUUAGCUUGCUAAGAGUGGAAAAGUUGAUAACUUAGUGGCGGACGGGUGAGUAACGCGUGGGUAACCUGCCUUACACAGGGGGAUAACACUUAGAAAUAGGUGCUAAUACCGCAUAAGCGCACAGUCCCGCAUGGGACAGAGUGAAAAACAUUAGUGGUGUAAGAUGGACCCGCGUCUGAUUAGCUUGUUGGCGGGGUAACGGCCCACCAAGGCGACGAUCAGUAGCCGGCCUGAGAGGGUGGACGGCCACAUUGGGACUGAGACACGGCCCAAACUCCUACGGGAGGCAGCAGUGGGGGAUAUUGGACAAUGGGGGAAACCCUGAUCCAGCGACGCCGCGUGAGUGAAGAAGUAUUUCGGUAUGUAAAGCUCUAUCAGCAGGGAAGAAAGAAAUGACGGUACCUGAGUAAGAAGCCCCGGCUAACUACGUGCCAGCAGCCGCGGUAAUACGUAGGGGGCAAGCGUUAUCCGGAAUUACUGGGUGUAAAGGGAGCGUAGACGGUAAUGCAAGUCUGGAGUGAAAGGCGGGGGCCCAACCCCCGGACUGCUCUGGAAACUGUGUAACUGGAGUGCAGGAGAGGCAGGCGGAAUUCCUAGUGUAGCGGUGAAAUGCGUAGAUAUUAGGAGGAACACCAGUGGCGAAGGCGGCCUGCUGGACUGUAACUGACGUUGAGGCUCGAAAGCGUGGGGAGCAAACAGGAUUAGAUACCCUGGUAGUCCACGCCGUAAACGAUGAUUACUAGGUGUGGGUGGGUAUGGACCCAUC
RNAcentral lists this ribosomal RNA (793 nucleotides) under uncultured bacterium. RNAcentral's name for it is "bacterial SSU rRNA". It matches the Rfam family "Bacterial small subunit ribosomal RNA", at positions 37 to 841 of the family's 1533-position model. The record is from RNAcentral.